Long non-coding RNA from Equus caballus (horse), 1655 nucleotides. The record is from Ensembl. NCBI's taxonomy places the organism in Eukaryota, Metazoa, Chordata, Mammalia, Perissodactyla, Equidae.
CUGGCCUGGCCUUGUUUAGUCACUGCCAUUUUCACUUCCAAAUUUCCGAGGGUAAAUUGGGAGACAGCGAUGUGGUGAAAUGCUCAUUAUUAGCCAACUCUCCCUGAGCACUUACUCUGCGCCCUGCACUGUGCUAAGUGCCUUAUAUAAGUUACCUUGUGGAAUCCACACACCAACCCUCUGAGGUAAAGCAGGGGAUGAAGAGUCAAAGCACCAGAAGCACAGCUGUCCUGCCAGCCCCUAAGUCAGCUCCAAGGGUGAGAAAUAGGAUGCAUUUCAGCCCCGAGGAAUGAACUCCUGGGACGUAUGUCUGUCAGGCAGAGUCUGGAGCACUUCCUAGAAAUCUUGACCUGUCGCCGUCAGUGGGGAAGGCUAAUUAAAGGAAAUAAAAGGCUGGUAGCCAGGAGAUUCCAACGUGCUGAGAAAACAAAGGCAGCCAACCUGCGAACUGCGAAGUCAGCUCUCAGCUUUGCCCCUGCCCCGCUCCCUCCACCACCCACCCAAACGCUCGCUCGUUUCUUCACCGGAUUUCCAGAUUUUGCACUACCAACCUACUCUUUGUUUACCCUGAUGGAUCAGCGGAGACAACCUUUGCAUAGGAGGCUAAUGCAGUAACCGAGGCCUCCGAGGCCAGCUCCCUCAACGGCUGGAGCUGUCUCUUCUUCAUCGUGUGUCCGAUGCAGGGCCAGGCAGCUGCCCGUGGUGGUUCAGAGUAAGGACAUGGAAAUGCAAAUGAAAACUACCAGACACGUCUAUUCCUUCAUCAGAAUGACUAACACUAAAAAGACUGACCAUAGCAAGUGUUGGUGAGGAUGUGGAAUGACUAAAACACUCAUACGCUUCUGAUGGGAAUGCAAAAUGAUACAGUACAGCACGUGGGAACACACUUUGGCAGUGUAUUAGAAAGUUAAAUGUGCACUUUACCAUAUGACCCAGCCAUCCACUCCUAGGUCCUUUCAAAAGUGAAAUGAAAACAGAUAUCUACUCAAAGACUUGUACACGAAUGCUCAGAGCAGCAUUAUUCAUGUAAGCCAAAAAGUGGAAGCAACUGAAAUGUCCAUCAAUAGCUGAAUGGAUCAACAAAAUGUGGUCUGUCUAUGCAAUGGAAUUAUAUUUGGCCAUAAAAAAGGAAUGAAGUACUGAUAGAUGUUAUAACGUGUAUGAACCUUGAAAACAUUCUGCCAAGUGAAAGAAGGGAGCGAUGAAAGACCACAUAUUGUAGGACUCCAUUUAGAUGAAAUGUCCAGAAUAGGCAAAUCUAUAGAGACACAAAGUAGAUUCAUGGCUGCCCGGGGCUGGAAGGAGGAAAGAAUGAGGAAUAACCACUAAUGGGUAGGGGCGUUUUUUUUGGGGUGCUGAAAAUGUUCUCAAAUUGAUUGUGGUGAUGCUUGCACAAGUCUGUGAAUAUAUUUUUAAAAAUGCUCAGUUGUAUACUUUAAAAGAGUGAAUUGGAUGGUAUGUGAGUUAUAGCUCAAUAAAGCAGGUACACGCACACGUACAUAGUGGCGAUGAGGACAUGACUCAAGCUUGACGCAAGCAGUCACGCAGCGCGAGGAGUCCCAUAAUUAGGCCUGCAGAUUGAAUCGGGCUGUGGAAUCUUGUUUGGCUGGCAGCGUUUGAAAACAUUAUUUGAUCUCUGUGCCUGUAGGCUGGGC